UACAGAGGUCUCAAGCGUUGUUCGGAUUCAUUGGGCGUAAAGGGUGUGUAGGUGGCGCCGUAAGUCGGGUGUGAAAUCCCCGGGCUCAACCCGGGAACUGCGUCCGAUACUGGGAGGCUUGAAUCCGGGAGAGGGAUGUGGAAUUCCAGGUGUAGCGGUGAAAUGCGUAGAUAUCUGGAGGAACACCGGUGGCGAAGGCGGCAUCCUGGACCGGUAUUGACGCUGAGGCGCGAAAGCCAGGGGAGCAAACGGG
RNAcentral lists this ribosomal RNA (253 nucleotides) under uncultured prokaryote. RNAcentral describes it as "partial 16S ribosomal RNA". It matches the Rfam family "Bacterial small subunit ribosomal RNA", at positions 524 to 776 of the family's 1533-position model. The record is from RNAcentral.